Molecule: long non-coding RNA, 7088 nt
Filed under: Equus asinus (donkey)
Lineage: Eukaryota; Metazoa; Chordata; Mammalia; Perissodactyla; Equidae
Description: lncRNA (ENSEASG00005026295.1)
Source: RNAcentral
GAAAAACCGAACUUGUCUUUCCUUUCCCUUGGCCCCCACUCCCACACACGCAGCCCUCCUCGGCCUCCUCCAACCCCCGCUAAGAAUAAAACGAGGACUCAGCAGCUGCAUGUGGCCUUCAGGGAAGACAAGACAGAGGCCUGAGAGUGCGGGAAGGCGGGCGAUCUGUCCUGGUCCUGCUGUCCUUCCCCUCUGGGCUCCACGAGGGCACCUUUGCCAAGGAUGCUGCCCCCCUGCUGCACUCCACACUGAGCACCCACCGGGCUGCUGGCCAGGCAGCCGAGAAUCAGCAAAGAAACCCCGCCCUGGUGCUGACAUUCCAGUGGGGGAGACAGGCGAUUUACAAGGAGAUAAAUAGUCACAGAGUAUCCUUGCAGGUGGAGACAGGCGCUGGGCAGAAAAGCAGAGUGGGAGAAGGCGUGACUGGGGCCGGGGGAGACCAAUGCCUCACUGAUAGGAUCAGGAGGCCUCUCUGGGGAGGUGACUCCUGAGCACAGUGGACAUUGAACAUGGGGUGGGAGCCAGGCCUGGAGACAUCCGGGGGAGAAUGAGUCCAAGAAGAGGGGCCUGCAAGCAAGUGAUGGGAAAUGCAGGUGGUGAGAUAGCCAGGGGCAGACUUGUCACAGUGCUGGGAGAGCACUGUCAUGGCCACCACCUUACAGACUAAGAAACAGAGGGCCCAGGAGGUUAAGAGGCUUGCCAAGACCAGCAGCCAGGAUUUGCUAGCUGAAGCCAGGCUGUCUGACUCAGAGAGAUUACUUCCCGCUAUCUCCCUAUCAUAGGACACACAUAGAUGCAUGACCUUUAUCCAAACCCUGGGGCAGCUGUGGGUGGAAAUUCAGAAGCUUCCAAUUUAAGAAUGCUCACACAGUGCAGUAUGGUAUGGUCCGUGACACCCCCGGGGGAUCUGGGACAGCACACAACAAUUAAAUAUAUUAACAUAGCAGGACACAAUUAGACAUAUUCAUAUUUCUGCAGCAAAACAUACUAAUCUUCACACUCAGAGGACCAAAAGAAGAAUUGUUAACAGCCUCAGUUCAGGUGAAGUUUGCCACCAAAUUCAGGUUAGUUACCAAAAUAACAACAAACAACUUCUGGUUUUCGGAGCCUUUAGGAUUUCCACUAAAGCUUGGGGGGCGCAGCGUUGCAACUUCUGGAAAUGUCAGCUCUGUGAAGACAGGCUGCAGAGAGGCCAGCUGGGAGCACCGUCGCCCGCAUUCGCAUCUUCGCGAGGCCCAGACCAGGAAUCGGCACAAACUUCCUCCUGGGCAAAGGAGCUCCCGGCAGCUCAGGAGCGGCCAGCACCGCGCGGGACAAGCCUGGCAAGAGGCAGUGGCGUCAUCCCCACCCAAGGUCAGGUGCAAACCCGUGGUCCGGCGGCCUCCACUUCUGCCCCAAGCAGCUUAAAGAUUCACUGAGAAUCAAAAUGCAGCAGAGAGGUUUGUUGAGCACCUACUAUGUGCCAGGGGAUUGGGAUACAUCUGUGAAGAAAACAACAAACGCCCUUGUCCUCACUGGAGAGGGAGUCAGACUUGGAUUCAAAAUAUCACAAUGUGCAAAGGUGAUGGGUGCCUGGGGGGCGAACAGCGCAGGGCGAGGGAGACCAGGGUGCCUGGGGAAGGAACUGAGUUUUAAAUAAGGUGUCAAAUUGAGCAGAGUCAAGAAGGAGGAGCCAUCCAGAGAGUCUGCGGGAGAGUGUUCCAGGCAGAGGGCACAGCGAGGGCAAAGACCUGGGGGAGCGAUGUGCCUGGCAACUUCUAGUUCAGCACAGAGGCUGAUGAGACCAGAGCUGAGUGAUCAAAGGGGAGGAAGAGGAGAAAGUGUAGCGGCGGAAUGCGCAGGCAGAAUCACUCGGGGGCUGGUCACACAGGGCUUUGUCUUUCAUUCUGAGCGAGAAAGGGAGAGUUGGAGAGUUUUGAGAAGAGCCCAUCAGGGUGUUGGUUAGAAGAAUCACUCUGGUAUCUGCAGGGCUUGGAGAUCAUCAGACUUGGGGAACCAAGUUGAGCUCUAAGCUUCUGAGUAAAGAGGUCCACUAUGAUCCCAGGAUUGUAAGACAAUAUGUAUGGUUUGCAGAGGAGCUGGGAGGGAGCCUGGAGAGCCCAUGAGGAGGCUGCUGGAGUUCUGGUCUGCAGUAGCCAGAUGGUGGCACUGUGGACAGGGCGUAGGGCAGGAAACCCAGGCACUAUUUCAAAAGUAUAAUCCAGAUAGGAGACAGUGGAUCAGUCUAAGGAAAGCAGCAAAGAUGAGCCAUAAACUUUCUGACCUGGGAAACUGGACUGUGGUGUAUAUUAAUACAACGCCCCAAAUUAAUAAACUGACAUGAACACUCUUUAGAUGACCCACCCUCCAACCUCGUGCUGUGUCAAGUCCGCCUCUUACACAAACCACCGUGCUGGGGAGCUCAGGCUAAGUUUGUUCUGGCUGCGUUUGAAUUCUGGCUGUCUACAGAUGAAAACGUAUGGGGUUGUUAUUUGUUGUGGGGGGUUUUCUUUAAAACCUUUUUUUUUUUUAAGAUUUUAUUUUUUUUCCUUUUUCUCCCCAAAGCCCCCCAGUACAUAGCUGCAUAUUCUUAGUUGCGGGUCCUUCUGGUUGUGCCAUGUGGGAUGUCGCCUCAGCGUGGCUUGAUGAGCAGUGCCAUGACUGCGCCGAGGAUUCGAACUGACGAAACACUGGGCCGUCUGCAGCGGAGCGUGCGGACAUAACCACUCAGCCACGGGGCCAGCCCCCCUUUAAAACCUUUUUUUAAAAGGGGCACCACUCAUUGAGACACACUGGGGUGGCAUCCCACAUGCCACAACUAGAAGGACCCACAACUGAGAAUAUACAACUAUGUGCCAGGGGGCUUUGGGGAGAAAAAGAAAAAAAAUAAAAUCUUUAAAAAAAAAAUCUUUCAAUUGCAUAAAAUUUGCUAUUUUAGCCAUUUUCAAGCAUACCAUUCAGUGGCAUUAAUUGCAUCCACAAAGCUGUGCAUGUAGUGCUUUUUUUUUUAAUUUCAAUAAGCCUCGGUUUUCUCAUCUGUUACGUGGGAAUAAUAACAAAAGCUGCCUUGAGGGCGACUGCAAGGAUUAAACGGGAUAAUCCAAGUGAAACAGCUCAGUGCCCAGCAUAUAACUGACACUCAGCCAAUGUUAGCUGUUUCCUACCUUAUUGCCUCUCUCCUCCUCUGUGUCAUCCCCAGUCACACUGGCCCUCAUGGCACCCUCGUCACCUCUUGCUGGUUGGAGACUCCUCUCCUCCCCCCACAGAGCCACCAGACCCAUCUUCCCAAGGGCAACAUCAGAUCCAGUCCAGCCUCUUGCUCAAAACUCCUCAGGACUCGCCACCAUCGUAAUGAAACUCCAAAAAUAAACAGAUUCUUUCUCAAGCCGGACCCUCACCAUAGUCUUGGUGUUCUCCUUCUGCAGAAAUCAAAUGUGACAGCAGAAGCUCCCUCAGAGCCUGGCCCACACAGCUCGCCUCCAAGUGAGUCUGUCCUUCUGGUUGGCGUGGGUGGACCAGCCAACUUACAGUUCAAAAGUUGGCAUCUCGUAUAACUUUACUACAGAGAAAAGAUGCGCUGGUUGGCAGACAUGAGUCUCUGGAUUGCUUGAAAAUUGUAUUCCUCAUUGGAAAGUGUGAUUUUUAAAGAGAAUUUUUUCACUCCUAAAAGAGGGCAAAGAGAUUACAAGACUGUGGACAGUUGGACAAAGACCAGGAUGAAGGUGAUGCUGGUGGUGAUGUUGAAGAAGAAGAUAAGCGAGGUAAAAUCGGGUCUAGCACUUCUUUCAGACCUACAAGUAUGAAAUAAAGCUGCAGGCAGCAUGAGGGGUUUAGGUAAACAUCGUAGAGACCAAUCUGAUACCCAACCAAAUGUAUGCCUCCCUCCAGUGGUUGGAUGAAUUUCUACACUGGCCGCUUCACCAACUCAGAUCCGCAGCCUCCUGCUUUUGCUGCAAGCCAGCCAGGAGUUGAAAUUUGGCCAUGGAUUUCCAGAGUCUACUGUAUGUCGCUCUUACUUCUUCCCCACAUUGUUCCUGGCCUCGGGCCCCCAAGACCUACACCUUGCUAAAGUGCCCUCUCAUAGGUUUGCAUGACCAAAUAUAUCAAGUCCAAACUUUAAUAUAAAUAAUAAUUUACAUUUGUCCAGUUACCUAAGGUUCACGGUUUGCUUUUGCAUCAAUUAUCUGAUCAGUGGAUAUACCCAUUUUAUGGGUGAGGAGGUUGAGUGGCAGAAAGAUAAAGUGAUUUACUCAAAACCACACAGCUAGUUAGAUGCAGCACUGGAAGCUUUUCCAUCUACACUGCAGCAGACCUUGAAAGGGGGGAAUUAUCUGGUUAAUUUGAAAUACAGAGAAGAAGAAGAGAGGUGUUGAAUUUCAUCCUUUUUUAUAAACACUGCAAGGUGGGAAAGAAACUUAAAUGAGACUCAGUAUAAGUGGAGAGGAUUAUGCUGCCUCUAACCUGACAUGACUUGGGCCCUGAGGGGCUGAUUCAUAUAGGUUCAAUAGUGCUAUGGUCAACGGCUUAUAGGGUAUUGUAGAGUCAAGCUCUGCUACAAAUGGCAGCUGGAGCUAGGAAUUCCAAUGGCCUAGGACAAACACCAGCCUCUCCAUGAGUCAGGCUGGGACACAUUCCCUAAUGAGCUAUCACAUUCCUUACGUAUUCCAGCUCACUUGAAAGGAAGAGAGAGCCUCCUGGCAGGCACCAUGCCAUUCAAAGAAAUUCUGCAGCUAUAGACAUCUCAGAAAACAAGGUGUUGGAGCCAGCCUGGUGGGGUAUUGGUUAAGUUUGCAUGCUCUGCUUCAGUGGCCUUGGGUUCAGGGGUUCAGAUCCUGGGCAUAGACCUACAUACUGUUCAUCAAGCCAUGCUGUGGCAGCAUCUCACAUACAAAAUAGGGGAAGAUUGGCACAGAUGUGAGCUCAGUGACAAUCUUCCUCAGGCAAAAAGAGGGAGACUGGCAACAGAUGUUAGCUCAGAGCCAAUCUUCCUCACCAAAACAAAAGUGCUAAUUGAGCAUAACAAGAUAUUGUUUCCCACUGACCCUGGAGUCAAUCCUUGCAGAUACCAAAAGUUUUCAAAAAAAUGGUGGCCCCCAAAGCUCUCCUUGCUCUACCUUGGUCCAUCUCUGUCCUUCCUCCCCAGGCAAAACCUUAGAAGAGAUUCUUCACAAAAGGAGAUUUAUAAAUAGCCAAUAAAAUAUGAAAAUUUGUGCAAUUUCAUAAGUCAUAUGAAAAUGAAAGUGAAAUCACAAUGUGAUACCACUACACACCAAACAGAAUGGCUAAAAUGACAGGGACACACAAUACCAAGUCUUGGCAAAGAGAUGGUGCUACUGGAACACUCAUACACUGCUGGUGGGAGUGUGAAGUGGUACAACCAUUUUGAAAAACUGUUGGCAUGCACCUUAUGACCCACUCCUAGGUAUACGCCAACAGAAAUGCUGACUUAUGUUAACCAAAAUAUAUGUACAAGAAUGUCAUAGCAAUUUUACUCCUAAUAGCCCCAAACUGAAAGCAACUCCAUGCCCAUCAACAGAAUAGAUAAAUAAAUUGUGGUAUAAUCAUUCAAUGGACUAUGAGAAGGCAGUGUUAAUAACAUUGUUGUGACACCACAAUACAGAUGAAUCUCACAAAGAUAACAUUGAGAGAAAGAGACUAAACACACAGCCCCAAACCUGAAGGACAUAAGGUGAGCUGGAGCUGUCUUGUUUGGGCUUGUGGGAGCCGCUUUUUAAAUUUUCAGGAAUUUUUCAGGCUGGUUGCUAAACACAACCACUAUUUAAAAUUAUAUAAACAUACAAUUAAGUAAAUUGUAUUAAAAGCAAAUAUAAUGAAUACUCAAAAUUUAUUCCUAAUUUACAAAAUUUUACUACACGUAAAAUUUACAUUUUUACAACAUGUUACUAUUAUCCAUGUUUUCGAAGUUAUUUACGCCUACUGUAUCUGUGAGGUCCAACGUCUUUGUUGUCUGACUUUUGUCUUAACUCCUUAACAUAAAUGAAAAUUUAAAUAACAUUCGUAUCAGAAGUACAUUCAUUCAUUAAGGACAUGAGCACCUCCUUUGCUGAACUGGGUAAUAAACAGCUAUUUAUUCAUAGUCUGAUUUUGCCAAAUCAUUCUUGAAUUGCAACUAAAGUUUGGUUACACUAUAAGAGUUCCACAAUAACAAAAAUGAAAGCAUUCUAUGAGAAUCAAUUGUCCAUACAGAAUAUACAGCAAAGAGUAUUGUAUAUUUUGUUAUUACUUGUAAAGUGUGGACAUGACUUCCUGGACAAAAGUCCCUUAAGAGCCCAGCAAGGGAAUGAAAACAGUCUCACGUGAAGACAUAUCAUCGUGAAAUCCCAGAAUACUGGGGGAAAAGGGAUGAUCCUAAAUGCAUCCAGAGGAUAAAACAGGAACAAAACCAAGAGCCAGGUCCCCACAGACGAAGGACAGGUCAUGGCAACACAGGGAGCUAGAAGAGAAAAGAGCAACACCUUCGAAAUUCUGAGGGAGAGGAUUUCUAACCUCGAAAUGUGCACCGGACCAUACUAUCAAUAGAUGUUAAAACAGAACAAAGACAUUCUCAGAGAUAAGACGUCUCAGAAAGUUUACUCCCAUGUACCCUUUCUCAGUAAGCUUCUGGAAAAUAUGCUCCCCGCAAACAGGAGUUUUGACUUAGAAAGAGAAAGAUACGGGAUCCAGAAAACAGAGGUGAAGUGAACUCUGGGGUGAUGAUGAAGGGGAUGCAGGGUUCCAGCUGUGACAGCUCCAGGGCCAGCUGGAGCAGGUCAAAAGUUCCAUCUCGUUUUGUAUAACACAUUUCCUAGGGUCCUCUCCCUACUGAUUAUAAGAAACCUGGGACUUGUGUUUGAAUGAUGCUUGGGUCAAAAACUCUUGGGUUUCGUUCAAUCAAAAGAAGUGCAUCUUGGGGCCAGCCCCGUGGCCGAGUGGUUAAGUUCAUGCGCUCUGCUUCGGUGGCCCAGGGUUUCGCCAGUUCGGAUCCUGGGCACGGACAUGGCACUGCUCAUUGAACCAUGCUAAGGCAGCGUCCCACAUGCCACAACUAGAAGGACCCAUAACUAAGAAUAUACAGCUGUGUACCGGGGGACUUUGGGGAGAAAAAGGAA